UACGAAGGGGGCUAGCGUUGCUCGGAAUCACUGGGCGUAAAGCGCACGUAGGCGGCUUUCUAAGCCAGGGGUGAAAUCCUGGAGCUCAACUCCAGAACUGCCUUUGAUACUGGAGAGCUUGAGUCCGGGAGAGGUGAGUGGAACUCCGAGUGUAGAGGUGAAAUUCGUAGAUAUUCGGAAGAACACCAGUGGCGAAGGCGGCUCACUGGCCCGGUACUGACGCUGAGGUGCGAAAGCGUGGGGAGCAAACAGG
RNAcentral lists this ribosomal RNA (253 nucleotides) under uncultured bacterium. RNAcentral's name for it is "partial 16S ribosomal RNA". It matches the Rfam family "Bacterial small subunit ribosomal RNA", at positions 524 to 776 of the family's 1533-position model. The record is from RNAcentral.